This 324-nucleotide ribosomal RNA is filed under the name Triticum aestivum (bread wheat). RNAcentral describes it as "partial small subunit ribosomal RNA". The record is from RNAcentral. Lineage: Eukaryota; Viridiplantae; Streptophyta; Magnoliopsida; Poales; Poaceae.
AUGGCCAAGCAUGAUGAAGCUGCACACGCGGUAUCUCCUGGACUUGCAACUCCAGGUGAUUCUAGUGAUGGGCCAAGCUCAUCACGUGAGCCACCUAGCAGCCUUCCUGCUAGGCCGCUUUCUCCUGGCCAUACAAGCAAAUUGGCUAGCCUCCUCUCUAGUGGGACUCCACAUCUGCCUGUUACUGGGCAGCGUGGCGCAGCUUCUACGCACUUUCCACGGGACACCAUCGAGCUGGAAUUGCCUCCACAGCUGACCGAUGCUUUGGCCAUGGCAGCGUGUACGCGAAGGUACAAAGAGGCAACGCACACGUCUUGUAGCUAA